RNAcentral lists this long non-coding RNA (256 nucleotides) under Lathyrus oleraceus (garden pea). RNAcentral describes it as "Pisum sativum (pea) long non-coding RNA (PSAT_LNC033464)". Lineage: Eukaryota; Viridiplantae; Streptophyta; Magnoliopsida; Fabales; Fabaceae. The record is from RNAcentral.
GAAAGUGGUAUUCGACUACCAGAAUAUGAUAUUUGAACACAAAUGUGAUUUAUUUUGAAAAAUUGUAGCUUUGGAAAGUGGUAGUCAACUACCAGAAUGUUGUAGCCAACUACCAGCUGAACCAAUUAUUUUUUCAUGAACAUGAAUCACUUUUUUGAUUGACAAUGCUUCAUGGAAUUUUUUCAAAGUUAUGCAUCUACUCAUAAAGGCUUCUAAGUGCGUAUAAAUGAUGGUUUAACAUUGAAAACGAGAUACC